Molecule: ribosomal RNA, 886 nt
Filed under: Russula viridirubrolimbata
Lineage: Eukaryota; Fungi; Basidiomycota; Agaricomycetes; Russulales; Russulaceae
Description: eukaryotic LSU rRNA
Rfam family: Eukaryotic large subunit ribosomal RNA
Source: RNAcentral
AGUAACGGCGAGUGAAGCGGGAAAAGCUCAAAUUUAAAAUCUGGUGGCCUUUGGCCAUCCGAGUUGUAAUUUAGAGAAGCGUCUUCCGCGCUGGACCGUGCACAAGUCUCCUGGAAUGGAGCGUCAUAGAGGGUGAGAAUCCCGUCUUUGGCACGGACUCCCGGUGCUUCUGUGAUGCGCUCUCAAAGAGUCGAGUUGUUUGGGAAUGCAGCUCAAAAUGGGUGGUGAACUCCAUCUAAAGCUAAAUACUGGCGAGAGACCGAUAGCGAACAAGUACCGUGAGGGAAAGAUGAAAAGCACUUUGGAAAGAGAGUGAAACAGUACGUGAAAUUGUUGAAAGGGAAACGCUUGAAGUCAGUCGCGUCGACCGAGACUCAGCCUUGCCUUGGCUUGGUGUGCUUCUCGGCUCGACGGGUCAGCAUCAAUUUCGAUCCUCGGAUAAUGGCAGGGGAAAGGUGGCACCUUUUUUAGGUGUGUUAUAGUCCUCUGUCGCAUGCGAGGGUCAGGAUUGAGGAACUCAGCAUGCGCCUCUGGGUGCCGGGGCCUUGGCCUACGUUACGUGCUUAGGAUGCUGGCAUAAUGGCUUUAAACGACCCGUCUUGAAACACGGACCAAGGAGUCUAACAUACCCGCGAGUGUUCGGGUGGAAAACCCGUGCGCGUAAUGAAAGUAAAAGUUGGGACCUCUGUCGUGGAGGGCACCGACGCCCGGACCAGACCUUCUGUGACGGCUCUGCGGUAGAGCGUGUAUGUUGGGACCCGAAAGAUGGUGAACUAUGCCUGAAUAGGGUGAAGCCAGAGGAAACUCUGGUGGAGGCUCGUAGCGAUUCUGACGUGCAAAUCGAUCGUCAAAUUUGGGUAUAGGGGCGAAAGACUAAUCGAACCAU